This 520-nucleotide ribosomal RNA is filed under the name uncultured Glomus. Its description in RNAcentral is "SSU rRNA". It matches the Rfam family "Eukaryotic small subunit ribosomal RNA", at positions 569 to 1091 of the family's 1831-position model. Lineage: Eukaryota; Fungi; Glomeromycota; Glomeromycetes; Glomerales; Glomeraceae. The record is from RNAcentral.
AGCAGCCGCGGUAAUUCCAGCUCCAAUAGCGUAUAUUAAAGUUGUUGCAGUUAAAAAGCUCGUAGUUGAAUUUCGGGACUAAUAUGUCGGUCGUACUUUGUACGUACUAGCAUUAUUGGUUUCUCCCUUCUGACGAACCACGAUGUCAUUAAUUUGGUGUCAUGGGAAAUCAGGACUGUUACUUUGAAAAAAUUAGUGUGUUUAAAGCAAGCUCGCGCUUGAAUACAUUAGCAUGGAAUAAUGAAAUAGGACGUUUGAUUCUAUUUUGUUGGUUUCUAGGAUCGACGUAAUGAUUAAUAGGGAUAGUUGGGGGCAUUAGUAUUCAAUUGUCAGAGGUGAAAUUCUUGGAUUUAUUGAAGACUAACUACUGCGAAAGCAUUUGCCAAGGAUGUUUUCAUUAAUCUAAGAACGAAAGUUAGGGGAUCGAAGACGAUCAGAUACCGUCGUAGUCUUAACCAUAAACUAUAGCCGACUAGGGAUCGGAUGAUGUUAAUUUUUAAUGACUCAUUCGGCGCCUUAC